CAUCUUCCCUGUCUUGUUCCUGGGCGCAGAGGGCUCCUCCGGCGCCGCCGAGCUGCGCCCGCUGCCUUCACACCCCGGACAUCCGCGCCACACGUGACACCUGCGGAGACAGCCCCCGUAAGGCUCCUGUUCCCGCCCCCUCCCGCCCCAGGGACCCAGACCCCAGGAGGCCUCACCCCACAGCAAGAGAAAGACCACGAGCAUGGACAUGAUGGUCGCGCUCACUCCGGUGCAGUGAGUGUCUGGGUGAUGGAUCCUAGAACCUGUUCUAGAAGGAGACGCUGAGUUCUCCCCACUCUACCUGGAGCUGCUGAGGUCAAGUGGAGAGUGCCGGGGCUGAAGCCCAGCGAGCCCCUCCCUGUCACACCACACUGCACAUGUGACACCAAAGGUGGGGUUCACCUCUUUUCAGACUUUCUGCGGUUGCCCUCACAUGGGCUGUCUGGAGGUGCACCCUCACUCUUCCUGAGGACUGUGGUUCCUUCUCCAUCACUGGUUCAUUCUGCAUGGUGUGACCCACCACGGCUCUGGAGUCGGAUUUCCACCCAGGUCAUUCAGCUGAGACCUGCGCUUCCCAGGCCUACCCGUGACAUGUGCUCAGUUACCUGAGCUGCUGGUGGUCACUCAUGUGGCUAUAGCCUGCUGCCUGGAGGCCAGGCCUCCCGCUUCCCCUGCCUCCCCCUCUCCUCACCACAGCCUGUUGGGAUGGAACAGGACAGGGGUGAGACCGUGGUGCUUUCACACUCAGCCUCCAUGGACAUCCUGUCAUUCCCACCCGGGGAGGUCUGGUCCCCACCCUGGGUGUCCCAGCCUAGCUCCGCUACGAGUGUGAGGGCCCAGGGCAACCGCCUAGCCCUCAUCUGCCCCCUGCACUGCAUCCUCCCCACUCAUUCAUUCCACAGGCAUUUAUUGAGCAUCUACUGUGUGCCAGAUGCAAAGAAGACAGUGGGAUAACUGGG
Molecule: long non-coding RNA, 959 nt
Organism: Homo sapiens (human)
Lineage: Eukaryota; Metazoa; Chordata; Mammalia; Primates; Hominidae
Gene: A1BG-AS1
Product: A1BG antisense RNA 1
Source: Ensembl